GUCAAAUCAUCAUGCCCCUUAUGACCUGGGCUACACACGUGCUACAAUGGGGCGUACAGAGCGACGCGAGACCGUAAGGUGGAGCAAAUCGCAGAAAGCGUCCCUCAGUUCGGAUUGAGGUCUGCAACUCGACCUCAUGAAGCUGGAAUCGCUAGUAAUCGCGUAUCAGCCAUGACGCGGUGAAUAUGUUCCUGAGCCUU
This 200-nucleotide ribosomal RNA is filed under the name uncultured organism. RNAcentral describes it as "partial small subunit ribosomal RNA". It matches the Rfam family "Bacterial small subunit ribosomal RNA", at positions 1184 to 1382 of the family's 1533-position model. The record is from RNAcentral.